UACGUAGGGUGCAAGCGUUGUCCGGAAUUAUUGGGCGUAAAGAGCUCGUAGGCGGUUUGUCGCGUCUGCUGUGAAAACCCGAGGCUCAACCUCGGGCCUGCAGUCGAUACGGGCGGACUCGAGUUCGGCAGGGGAGACUGGAAUUCCUGGUGUAGCGGUGAAAUGCGCAGAUAUCAGGAGGAACACCGGUGGCGAAGGCGGGUCUCUGGGCAAUAACUGACGCUGAGGAGCGAAAGCGUGGGGAGCGAACAGG
Molecule: ribosomal RNA, 253 nt
Filed under: uncultured bacterium
Lineage: Bacteria
Description: partial 16S ribosomal RNA
Rfam family: Bacterial small subunit ribosomal RNA
Source: RNAcentral